This 267-nucleotide ribosomal RNA is filed under the name uncultured bacterium. RNAcentral describes it as "partial 16S ribosomal RNA". It matches the Rfam family "Bacterial small subunit ribosomal RNA", at positions 87 to 354 of the family's 1533-position model. The record is from RNAcentral.
UUGAGUUAGUGGCGGACGGGUGAGUAACGCGUGGAUAACCUGCCGUAUACCGGGGGAUAACACUUAGAAAUAGGUGCUAAUACCGCAUAAGCGCACGGCUCCGCAUGGGGCAGUGUGAAAAACUCCGGUGGUAUAAGAUGGACCCGCGUCUGAUUAGCUUGUUGGCGGGGUAACGGCCCACCAAGGCGACGAUCAGUAGCCGGCCUGAGAGGGUGGACGGCCACAUUGGGACUGAGACACGGCCCAAACUCCUACGGGAGGCAGCAG